UAAGGAAUAUUGGGCAAUGGACGCAAGUCUGACCCAGCCAUGCCGCGUGGAGGAUGAAGGCCCUCUGGGUUGUAAACUUCUUUUCUCUGGGGCGAAAAACAGGUUUUCUAACUUGCUUGACAGUACCAGAGGAAUAAGCACCGGCUAACUCCGUGCCAGCAGCCGCGGUAAUACGGAGGGUGCAAGCGUUAUCCGGAUUCACUGGGUUUAAAGGGUGCGUAGGUGGGGAGGUAAGUCAGCGGUGAAAUCCCCGAGCUUAACUUGGGAACUGCCAUUGAUACUAUCUCUCUUGAAUACCUUGGAGGUAAGCGGAAUAUGUCAUGUAGCGGUGAAAUGCUUAGAUAUGACAUAGAACACCAAUUGCGAAGGCAGCUUACUACACGGUCAUUGACACUGAGGCACGAAAGCGUGGGGAUCAAACA
Molecule: ribosomal RNA, 422 nt
Filed under: uncultured bacterium
Lineage: Bacteria
Description: bacterial SSU rRNA
Rfam family: Bacterial small subunit ribosomal RNA
Source: RNAcentral